Molecule: ribosomal RNA, 462 nt
Filed under: uncultured bacterium
Lineage: Bacteria
Description: partial 16S ribosomal RNA
Rfam family: Bacterial small subunit ribosomal RNA
Source: RNAcentral
CCUACGGGUGGCAGCAGUGAGGAAUAUUGGUCAAUGGGCGCAAGUCUGAACCAGCCAAGUAGCGUGCAGGAUGACUGCCCUCCGGGUUGUAAACUUCUUUUAUUAGGGAAUAAACUGAGGCUCGUGAGCCCCGUUUUAUAUAUUCUAUCAGUAAGAAUACCCUCUAAUUCCGUCACAGCAGCCGCUAUUAUACGGGAUGUCCGGGCGUUAUGCGGAUUUUUUGGUUUUAAAGGGAGCGUAGGCGGGGUUUUAAGUCAGCUGUGAAAGUUCGCGGCUCAACCGUGAAAUUGCAAUUGAAAUUGGCAGUCUUGAGUACAGUAGGGGAUGGCGGAAGUCAUGGUGUAGCGGUGAAAUGCUUAGAUAUCACGAAGAACUCCGAUUGCGAAGGCAAGUGUCUGGGCUGCAACUGACGCUGAGGCUCGAAAGUGUGGGUAUCAAACAGGAUUAGAUACCCCUGUAGUC